Chiloscyllium plagiosum (whitespotted bambooshark) is the source of this 1265-nucleotide non-coding RNA. Lineage: Eukaryota; Metazoa; Chordata; Chondrichthyes; Orectolobiformes; Hemiscylliidae. The record is from RefSeq and is a predicted model, not a curated record.
GUAGUUGUGUCUGUGGAACACAGUACGCCAGGGGGGUUGGUUUCUUGGUGGGGCUUCAGUUGUGCAUCUUCUGUUUUUAGACUCCCUUCUGAAGAUGAACAAUUUCAAAGCUUGAGGUCAGCAUUUUGCUAUGAUGGCCCAGGUGCUUAAUAGGUGGAGUUUGUUUGCUUGUAAAGGUGGAUUGCAGCAGAACAAAUUUGAUGGCUUCUUUGUUCCUCCGUCACAGUGCAGAAAAGGCCCUUGGCCCAUUUAGUCUGCACUGACAUAGCUACCACUAAAGGUUUAUUUGAAAUAGUACUGCUCCUUCAUUAGGAGUUGAAGACUGAAGGACAACCUGAGGUUUACAAAAUUAAUGGAUAGCUGGAGACCUUUUUUUUCCCCCCCUCUGGAUGGAACUGUCAGUUCCUUGGAUGUACCUUUUCAAAAGUGACUGCUAACCUGCUUCCUGGGAUAAGGUCAUAUGGAAGAUUGAACAAGUAGGCUUGGCCUACUCCAUUGGAGUUAAGAAUGAGGUGAUAUUAUAACAUACACCCACCUGAAAAGACAUGAUAGGGUUGAUACACAAAGGAUGUUUCUUGCAAGCAAAAUUCAAGAUGGAGAGCAUGAUAUCAGAAAGAUGCCUCCUUGAAGAUAGGUGAGGGUAGCUGGUGUGCGCAAUUUACUUUCUCUGCAGAAGGUAGUGGAGGCUGGGUCUUGAAACAUACGUACCUUUUGAUAGACAAAGGAGUCGAGGGUAAUGGGAGGCAGACCAGGUGGAGUCGUGAUCACAACUCCAGCUAACUCAUUGGAUAGUGGAGCAGACUUGGACGUACCAAAUAACUUCUGCUUUCAAGUCUCAUUUGUGUUGGAGGACUUUUCAGGUUGAUUUGGUCUGUAGGUGUCAAAUUAACAUGACAAAGGCGCAGGGUGGUGUCUGAUUUGUUUUUUUGGGGGGAGGUUUCUUGUAAAACCUCUAGGGGAAAUGGCCUCAUUUUAAUUAAGUAACCUAAUAGCUUGUUUAUAUACAUGUUCUAAUCCAAAUAAGUCAACACUGCAUGUAACUGUCUUAAUUUCUUUGUAUGAUAUUGGUUAAUGACUACAUAUGGUCAUCCCUCUGGGAAAUUUUCUGCCACUUUGAUUUUAUUGUCAUGUCUGUGCCAGGAUCGGCAAGAUUCUUGUUUUCUACAUUGUUAUUCUCUGCUCCCAGUGUGGAUUUAUUGCCACACUGACCCAGGCUGUGCAGUUUAGGUUUGAAGGUAGAAUAACAGUCAUAGAGAUGUACAGCA